Long non-coding RNA from Mus musculus (house mouse), 3305 nucleotides. RefSeq annotates it as predicted gene, 36243. The transcript is spliced from 4 exons. The record is from RefSeq and is a predicted model, not a curated record. NCBI's taxonomy places the organism in Eukaryota, Metazoa, Chordata, Mammalia, Rodentia, Muridae.
AAUAGAAUUCGAAGAAAUUAGAAAAUAGAGAUCUCUUAAGUGAAAAUGAAAGCUACCACCUGUUCACACAGAAAUCACAGAACACAAUCCAGACUGCCAAAUGGUCUGAGUAUUUUACAAAAUGCACAGGACAAAGGGGUUCAGGUGAGCACUCAGAACAUUCAUUCUUGGUUUGCAUUCUGGUUUCCAUACUUAUAUAGCUGUGUGGUGUUGGAGACAUUACUCAGUUUCCUUGCCCUCAGUUUCCUUAUCUGCGCAAUGGAGAAUAAUUACACCUAAGACUAGGGAGGGCUCUUGUGAAGACCAGAUGAAAUGAUGCAAGGAGCCAGAGCCUAGGUCACAGUAGGCUAAGAGGGGGAAAACAUGCUGUUUAAACAGAUUCCCAAAUAAUCUCAUUCCUUUACUCAAUUAUACACAAAUGACUGUUGGGGAACCAGAGAGGUGACUGUUUUUUUUUUUUUUUUGGUUUUUCGAGACAGGGUUUCUCUGUAUAGCCCUGGCUGUCCUGGAGCUCACUUUGUAGACCAGGCUGGCCUCGAACUCAGAAAUCUGCCUGCCUCUGCCUCCCGAGUGCUGGGAUUAAAGGCGUGCGCCACCAUGCCCGGCAGAGGUGGCUGCUCUUGCAGAGGAGUUGGGUUCCAGGCCUCACAACUGUCUAUAACUCCAGUUCCAGAGAUCCGGUGCCCUCUUCAGAGCACACACACGGUGCACCUACAGACAUACAAGCAAAACAUUCAUGAACAACAACAAAAACGUUGUUCUAGAAUGGAUGCAGUUUGGACAGGAGAGCUUAAAAGAUGUGGCCAGUGCUGCCACAUGCUGUCGGCAACAUACCACCCUCCUGGUAGUGCCCACAAACAGCAUCCUACAGUGCAGGAGCAUCCUAAAGGCUCUCCAGGGCUGUUUUCAGGUAUGUUAGAUACCUUGGCACGUGAUAUACUUUAACCUCAGGCUUUGAGAUUAUAUCUGCAUCAUUUAAAAGGCAGGCUAUUACCUUCAUUGAGUGUACAUGAAUUCUGAGAGAAAAGUUUUAAAAAUCCUAAGUUCUCAAAAAGGGCGAGGAAUAUGAAAAUGCGGUAUUCCUGGCUUUAAAUUCUACAGAGAGCAAAAUGAGAAGUCAAAUAAAAUUCACAGAUCUAUGGUAUAGAUCAGGGUUAAAACUCCUGUCUCACAUGGACAAAGGCAAGGGCCUGGUUUCCACUCCCAGCAUUAAAACAAACAAACAAAACCAAUGAAAGGGCUAGAAAGUUCAACUCAAAAGGGAAGAAAGCCCAAUAGAUGAGUUUAAAAACUGAGGCCCAGAUGCACACCUGGGAUGUGCAAACAUCAUGUGCUCCACAGCUGGGCCUUCCUGCAAGUCUCUACUUCUGAGCCCAGCCUUGCUAGUCCUCCCAUCUAUCCCAGAAUGCCCUGUGUCAUCCUUCUGUCUGGCAUUCCCUCAGCCUGGAGCCAUAUGUCUCAGGCUCUUGACUGGGUCUCUUCAUCCUUCAUAAAUCAGCUUACAUAUCACUUUCUUAGAUCAUCUUCCGCUGUUAUUUUAUCUUUUAGCAUUUAACUUGUUCAGUUUCUUUUCUUUCUAGCCUAUUACGUGUCCCCAUUAUGCUAACUCUGGCUGGCCUGUGACUUGUUCUGUAGACUGGCCUAGUCUCUCCCAAGUGCUGCCUCCUGAGCGCUGGGACUGAUGGUGAGCGCCACCACACUCAGUGUCUGUCCCUAAUCAUUGCAGAUGUAAUUAAUUGUUUGUCAUUAUGGCCUGUCUUCCUCAUUGGUGGAUUUUCUCAGUAGAACUCCUGCUAAAGAAAAAGAAACUAAAAAGGAACCUGAAUCAGAGUCAAAACUAUGACCUCAAAUUAAUAAUGUAAAGACAUUUUUCAUAAUGUACUUAUUUUCAUUUUAUGUGUCGGAGUGCUCGCCCGAAUGCCUCAUGUGCAUGUGGUGCCCACAGAGGCCAGAUAAGAGCAUCGGUUUCCUUGGGAGUGGAGUAGAUCGUUGUGAGCCACAAUCUGGUACUGGGAACUGAACCCAAGUCUGAAAGAACAGCCAGUGCUCUUCACCAACAAACUGCCUCUCCAGUCCCAGAUUAAUAAUUUCUUCAACGUAUUUUUUCUUUCAGUGUAUCACUGUUUAAGGUAACAAUGGCAUAUUUCCAAGGGCACACGGACAGCCUGGAGAAGCACUAUAAGCAAUUCCCUAUGAAUUGUGUUUCCUUUUUUACAUGGCCAGGAAGAAUGGUGAGCUCUAGCUGGGGCUGCUAAGUUAGCACCAUUGUUGAGCAGGGCUGCCACCUGAAUAAGGGAGUUCCCAGACUAGGAGCUGCUUUAGGAAGUAAUUAGGAGUAUUAAGGAGGAGAGAGAUCAUUUCUUAGUGCUCCCUGGCUUUGGCUGGGGGAAAGGGUACCUCCCCUUCCUUAGCAUAGGGAGGUGGGCUACACCCCAGUAUUCACUGGAAAAGCACUUCCCACCUGUUGUCUCUACUAGGCUUUUGGUGGGGAGGGAGGAGGAAGGCAGGAGCAUUUGUGUCUCUGAGGGACAUUUGGACAUUUUUACAGGAAUAAUGCUGGGGUGUAGGAAUGACUGGCGUUCCUGGAGUCUUUUCUCCUUUUUUGUUUUCUGCAGGGCCUGGAAUUAAACCUACUAUCUCACUCGUGCUAAGCAAGCACUCUACCACUGAGCUACCCUAACCCCGAUGCCUUUCCAUUGUCAGAUUUCUUUGGAGGUAACCACACUGCAAGGAGGAGCUCCAACAUUGCAGAAAGCAAGAGGACAGAGGCGUGCUUUGGUAGAUCACUAUAGCAAAAGAAAAGACAGGUUCACACAGGAAGCCACCCAGACCUAUAUUCCAUCGGCACCACCCUGCAUUCUAUGAAUACUGUUUUUAAAGAUACACACAUCAUGCCACCUUGCCUGUGUGGUUGGCAAACCAGAAUCCAAUCGGAAUGAUCAUGUGAUCUAGUGUGGUGCCACUGACAGGCUGAUGCCCGCUGUCAGAAAGGAGACCCACAACAUCCCAGAGAAGUGCUUCACUGCUAUCACGACCUGCUUGUGGCUCUGGCAGAGCUGACCGAGGAGCUGGGGGUCUUUACUGCUUUGUAUUUUGAGGGAGUCACAGCAUGUUCUUUCACCUGAGAAGCAAGUGAUGAUGAAAGUGUACGGCAGCAUUCUCGUCCUUCCUGACAGCCUACCGAAUCCUCAGACAUUAACAUGAGACUUCCUUGAGGAAUGACUUCAAUUGACAACUGACUUCAAUAUUUGAUCAUACUUCAACAUUUCCUGAGUAUAUGAGUACACCAUAGCUGUCUUCAGACA